AAUUGCGGAAUUUGAUAUCGCUAUGAAUCACAUUUGUUGGUUAACCCUGUAAAGUUUCAAUAUUCAUAGUCAUUUAAAUAGUUUGGGUUUAUUAGGCAAUUGACGGUUGGUUUUUAAUUGCUGAAUUUGAUAUCGCUAUGAAUCACAUUCAAAGACUGUUGUUAGGGUUCGGUUAUGGUUGCAUUAUAGAGACAUUAGAAACCUUUGAUUUCGC
This 214-nucleotide long non-coding RNA is filed under the name Lathyrus oleraceus (garden pea). RNAcentral describes it as "Pisum sativum (pea) long non-coding RNA (PSAT_LNC035567)". Lineage: Eukaryota; Viridiplantae; Streptophyta; Magnoliopsida; Fabales; Fabaceae. The record is from RNAcentral.